Molecule: ribosomal RNA, 433 nt
Filed under: uncultured bacterium
Lineage: Bacteria
Description: partial 16S ribosomal RNA
Rfam family: Bacterial small subunit ribosomal RNA
Source: RNAcentral
AACGAACGCUGGCGGCAUGCCUAACACAUGCAAGUCGAACGAGACCUCCGGGUCUAGUGGCGCACGGGUGCGUAACGCGUGGGAACCUGCCCUUAGGUUCGGAAUAAUUCUUCGAAAGGGGUGCUAAUACCGGAUAAUUUCCUCGAACCAAAGAUUUAUCGUCUUUGGAUGGGCCCGCGUUGGAUUAGCAAGUUGGUAGUGUAAAAGCCUACCAAGGCGAGGAUCCUUAGCUGGUCUGAGAGGAUGGUCAGCGACACUGGGACUGUGACGCGGCCCAGACUCCUACGGGAGGCAGCAGUGGGGAAUAUUGGAAAAUGGGCGAAAGCCUGAUCCAGCAAUGCCGCGUGAGUGAUGAAGGCCUUAGGGUUGUAAAGCUCUUUUACCCGCGAUGAUAAUGACAGUACCGGGAGAAUAAGCUCCGGCUAACUCCGUG